AUGAGCAUACUCUCACUAGAUGUAUUCUUUUUAAUAGAUGGCGCCCGUGCCCAUUCUGAUGAUGACUACUGGAUGAGCAAUGGAUCUGAUCUCAUUGCCCGUCAUGAUGAUGGCAACCAUAUGGACUUCAAAACUGGUGGGCCACGAUCCUAUGAGGAGACAAGGGAAAGAGGGGUCAAUAUUGGAAAAGGCCUGGAAAGGAUCAGUCGACGUCGGGGGGGGGGCAAGCUGCUUGUCAUUCCAGAAGGGAGGUUAAGGCCGGAGACACCUCUUCUUGCUACAAAGUUUGCAACCGAAUGCAAUGUCACAGUCAGAGGCCAUGUGCCCGUGUUUAAACGCUGGAAGGAUUACAAGGACCCAGGCGGAAAUGUCCGAGAAGGGAUCUUCCAGAACUUUGUAGGAAAAGUUGGUAACAAAUUUGAGAUGGACGUAAAAGCUGUGCCCGUUAGGAAGGCUUGUACGCAAAUGCUGAAAGGUGCAAUUCGCCAACAACGAUACAGGCUCAAGCAGAAGUAUUUUGAUCCUUUCCCACUCAAUUUGGUGACGGAAACUUCUCCAGUCUGCUCGAUGACUGAUGACCAGUGGAAUGAGCUUGUUGAAAGCUGGAAGGAUCCCCAAAAAUGCCAAUACAUGUCUUUUGCACUUAAUGGGAGACAAAUACAAGGAGAAAGAACCCACUGCAGUGGAUUUAUUCAAAGAGUGCCACUACAGCAGCAAAAAGAAAGGCUACACACCGAUGCUGUGCAAGCUGCAAUUGAUGAAAUGGAAGAGAAAGCUACUCAACCUACAAAAGAUGGCCAACAAUCCAACUCUGCAACCAAGGCUGUGGCUGAAGUUCUUACUAAGCACACUAAGAAGCCAAUGUUUCUUAAGCAUGUGGGGGUCCAGCACGUGCAUGAGAGAUCCAGUCGUAGCGACCGUAAGGCAGAACAGGAAGCGCAGAAGAGGGGAAAUGCUGAGCUUCGGGCCCUUGUUGAAACCUUGAACAAUAAGUUACAGGAAUCAGAAGAAGCAAGGAUCAGGCAAGAAGAAGAAAGGACCAAAUUCAUCCAAGAUAAGCUCAUGAUGCAAACUGCUUAUGAUGUUGCUGGAUGCAAACUAAGUAUUUUGCUGGCAGAUGGAAGUUGUGUUGGAUGUGUUAUGUUUGAUGGCCCAAAUGGUAGAGGCCCAGAUGAAGCCACAUCAGAUCCACGUGGAUGCCACGCAAUAAAUCAUGGCAUGCAGAUCGGUGACGGAUCUGUCCGUCACCGAAACCCGGGACUGGGGCAGGCCGAGCGGGGCCGGGGGCCUGAUCAGUGA
RNAcentral lists this ribosomal RNA (1299 nucleotides) under Triticum aestivum (bread wheat). RNAcentral's name for it is "partial small subunit ribosomal RNA". Lineage: Eukaryota; Viridiplantae; Streptophyta; Magnoliopsida; Poales; Poaceae. The record is from RNAcentral.